This 378-nucleotide ribosomal RNA is filed under the name uncultured eukaryote. RNAcentral's name for it is "partial 18S ribosomal RNA". It matches the Rfam family "Eukaryotic small subunit ribosomal RNA", at positions 592 to 976 of the family's 1831-position model. The record is from RNAcentral.
CAAUAGCGUAUAUUAAAAUUGUUGCGGUUAAAACGCUCGUAGUUGGAUAUCUGCUAAGGGGUUCAGGUCCUUCCCAGUGAAGAAUACGCGGAACUCUUCUUGGCAUUUAUUCAGGGAAGGUGUUUGCACUUUGUUGUGUGUCACGUGAUCUGAAUUUUUACUUUGAGGAAAUGAGAGUGUUUCAAGCAGGCUUUCGCCGUGAAUAUGAUAGCAUGGAAUAAUAGCACAGGACCCCUUUCCAAAGCUGUUGGUUUUUGGAACGAGGUAAUCAGAAUAAGGAUAGUUGGGGGUAUUCGUAUUUAACUGUCAGAGGUGAAAUUCUUGGAUUUUUUAAAGACGAACUAUUGCGAAGGCAUCUGCCCAGGAUGUUUUUAUUGA